AGCGGCAGGUUAUACAUGCAAGUCGUGGAAGCAGCGCAGUGUAGCAAUACAUGGGCGGCGACCUGGCAAACGGGUGCGGAACACGUACGCAACCUUCCUUUAACUGGAGAAUAGCCCGGAGAAACCCGGAUUAUACUCCGUAACAUUAUGAAGUGGCAUCACUUUAUAAUUAUAGCUCCGGCGGUUGAAGAUGGGCGUGCGUCUGAUUAGGUAGUUGGCGGGGUAACGGCCCACCAAGCCUGCGAUCAGUAACUGGUGUGAGAGCACGACCAGUCACACGGGCACUGAGACACGGGCCCGACUCCUACGGGAGGCAGCAGUAAGGAAUAUUGGUCAAUGGACGAAAGUCUGAACCAGCCAUGCCGGUGAAGGAUUAAGGCCCUCUGGGUUGUAAACUUCUUUUAUCUGGGGCGAAAAAAGGGUAUUCUUACUCACUUGACGGUACCAGAGGAAUAAGCACCGGUUAACUCCGUGCCAGCAGCCGCGGUAAUACGGAGGGUGCAAGCGUUAUCCGGAUUUACUGGGUUUAAAGGGUGCGUAGGUGGGUCUGUAAGUCAGUGGUGAAAUCUCCGGGCUUAACCCGGAAAACUGCCAUUGGAUACUUAUAGGUCUUGAAUUAUCUGGAGGUAAGCGGAAUAUGUCAUGUAGGCGGGUGAAAUGCUUAGAUUUGACAUAGGAAACAACCAAUUUGCGAAGG
This 697-nucleotide ribosomal RNA is filed under the name uncultured bacterium. RNAcentral describes it as "bacterial SSU rRNA". It matches the Rfam family "Bacterial small subunit ribosomal RNA", at positions 38 to 721 of the family's 1533-position model. The record is from RNAcentral.